RNAcentral lists this transfer RNA (63 nucleotides) under Dipodomys ordii (Ord's kangaroo rat). The record is from Rfam by way of RNAcentral. Lineage: Eukaryota; Metazoa; Chordata; Mammalia; Rodentia; Heteromyidae.
GGCGCUGUGGCUCAAGUGGUAGAGCGCUAGCCUAUUGAGCUGAAGAGCUGAGGGACAGCGCCC